AUAGUUACAAAUUUUACUUGCUUGAGUAUUGGGGAGAUGUGAUAAGGCAGGAUAUGGCGCGACAUAGGAUUAGUGAGGACAUGGCCCUUGACAUGAGAUUGUGGAGGUCGAGCAUUAAAGUUGUAGGUUAGGGAGAAGUUGAGAUAUUUCUACAACGCACUAGAGUAAGACUAGACAGUUAGGAGAUAGGCCUAGGAUGCUACUGAUCAGCUACAGAUGCAGGGCCUUAUAUCC
This 234-nucleotide long non-coding RNA is filed under the name Nicotiana benthamiana. RNAcentral describes it as "long non-coding RNA (NBEN_LNC008604)". The record is from RNAcentral. Lineage: Eukaryota; Viridiplantae; Streptophyta; Magnoliopsida; Solanales; Solanaceae.